CUACGGGGUGCUCCAGUGAGGAAUUUUGCGCAAUGGGGGAAACCCUGACGCAGCAACGCCGCGUGAGCGAAGAAGGCCUUCGGGUCGUAAAGCUCUGUCAAGUGGGAAAAAAAUUCUUUGAUGAACAGUCAAAGGACUUGAUGGUACCACUGGAGGAAGCACCGGCUAACUCCGUGCCAGCAGCCGCGGUAAUACGGAGGGUGCAAGCGUUGUUCGGAAUUACUGGGCGUAAAGAGCGUGUAGGCGGUUUGACAAGUCAGAUGUGAAAGCCCCGGGCUCAACCCGGGAAGUGCAUUUGAACUGUUUCACUAGAGUAUGGGAGAGGAGAUUGGAAUUCCUGGUGUAGAGGUGAAAUUCGUAGAUAUCAGGAGGAACACCCGUGGCGAAGGCGAUUCUCUGGACCAAUACUGACGCUGAGACGCGAAAGCGUGGGGAGCAAACAGGAUUAGAUACCCCCGUAGUC
This 463-nucleotide ribosomal RNA is filed under the name uncultured bacterium. RNAcentral describes it as "partial 16S ribosomal RNA". It matches the Rfam family "Bacterial small subunit ribosomal RNA", at positions 339 to 795 of the family's 1533-position model. The record is from RNAcentral.